This 253-nucleotide ribosomal RNA is filed under the name uncultured bacterium. Its description in RNAcentral is "partial 16S ribosomal RNA". It matches the Rfam family "Bacterial small subunit ribosomal RNA", at positions 524 to 776 of the family's 1533-position model. The record is from RNAcentral.
GACGGAGGAUGCAAGUGUUAUCCGGAAUCACUGGGCGUAAAGCGUUUGUAGGUGGUCAAAUAAGUCAACUGUUAAAUCUUGAGGCUCAACCUCAAAAUCGCAGUCGAAACUAUUAGACUAGAGUAUAGUAGGGGUAAAGGGAAUUUCCAGUGGAGCGGUGAAAUGCGUAGAGAUUGGAAAGAACACCGAUGGCGAAGGCACUUUACUGGGCUAUUACUAACACUCAGAGACGAAAGCUAGGGUAGCAAAUGGG